This 300-nucleotide unclassified non-coding RNA is filed under the name Hevea brasiliensis (rubber tree). Lineage: Eukaryota; Viridiplantae; Streptophyta; Magnoliopsida; Malpighiales; Euphorbiaceae. The record is from RNAcentral.
UAAUUCAUAGGCUUUCUUGAGCAAACCAUUGCGCCUUUUGCAGAAAGUGACUUGGCGAUUUGUGGUGUUUUCGAUCCGCUUGAUCUCGAUCUUCCCCCUACCCAUUUUCCUCUGGGGUGAAGUCUCCCUGGACUCGCUCGGGUAUGCCAUGGCAGCUGCUAGCUACUACGUGAUCCUUUGGGAGGAAAUAAACAAAGUGAGGGAUAGAGAUGCUAAUUGCGGAGAGAAACGAAGGCUAUUUUGCUUUUGGGUUGUGGGUUUCUCUGUGACUUUUCUUUGUUUCUAUAAAAAUGAGUUGGA